GACGAACGCUGGCGGCGCGCUUAACACAUGCAAGUCGAACGGAAAGGCCUGCUUUCCCUUGUGGCUUGCGGGUACUCGAGUGGCGAACGGGUGAGUAACACGUGAGUGAUCUGCCACCAACUUGGGUAUAAGACUGGGAAACUGGGUCUAAUUCCCGAUAGGACUGCAGGGUGGUGCCUGUGGUGGAAAACGAUUUUCUAGUGGUUGGGGAUGAGCUCGCGGCCUAUAAGCUUGUUGGUGGGGUAAUGGCCUACCAAGGCGGCGACGGGCAGCCGGCCUGAGAGGGCGGCCCGUCACAUUGGGACUGGGAUACGGCCCAGACUCCUACGGGAGGCCGCCGUCGGGCAUAUUUGUCAAUGGGCGGAAGCCUGGUGCAGCGACGCCGCGUGGGGGAUGUCGGCCUUCGGGUUGUAAACUCCUUUCGACCGCGAGGAAGCCACCUGGUUGGAAGGGUGGUGACGGUAGUGGUAGAAGAAGCACCGGCUAACUACGUG
RNAcentral lists this ribosomal RNA (494 nucleotides) under uncultured bacterium. RNAcentral's name for it is "partial 16S ribosomal RNA". It matches the Rfam family "Bacterial small subunit ribosomal RNA", at positions 28 to 507 of the family's 1533-position model. The record is from RNAcentral.